GAGAGUAUAGCUCAGUGGUAGAGUGCAUGCUUAGCAUGCAUGAGGUGCUGGGUUCAAUCCCCAGUACCUUCC
RNAcentral lists this transfer RNA (72 nucleotides) under Camelus bactrianus (Bactrian camel). It matches the Rfam family "tRNA". From Rfam's summary of the family: Transfer RNA (tRNA) molecules are approximately 80 nucleotides in length. Their secondary structure includes four short double-helical elements and three loops (D, anti-codon, and T loops). Lineage: Eukaryota; Metazoa; Chordata; Mammalia; Artiodactyla; Camelidae. RNAcentral also lists the same sequence under 2 other names. The record is from Rfam by way of RNAcentral.